GACGAACGCUGGCGGCGUGCUUAACACAUGCAAGUCGAACGGAAAGGCCCUGCUUUUGUGGGGUGCUCGAGUGGCGAACGGGUGAGUAACACGUGAGUAACCUGCCCUUGACUUUGGGAUAGCUUCAGGAAACUGGGGCUAAUACCGGAUAGGAGCUCCUGCUGCAUGGUGGGGGUUGGAAAGUUUCGGCGGUUGGGGAUGGACUCGCGGCUUAUCAGCUUGUUGGUGGGGUAGUGGCUUACCAAGGCUUUGACGGGUAGCCGGCCUGAGAGGGUGACCGGCCGCAUUGGGACUGAGAUACGGCCCAGACUCCUACGGGAGGCAGCAGUGGGGAAUAUUGCACAAUGGGCGGAAGCCUGAUGCAGCAACGCCGCGUGCGGGAUGACGGCCUUCGGGUUGUAAACCGCUUUCGCCUGUGACGAAGCGUGAGUGACGGUAAUGGGUAAAGAAGCACCGGCUAACUACGUG
This 468-nucleotide ribosomal RNA is filed under the name uncultured bacterium. RNAcentral describes it as "partial 16S ribosomal RNA". It matches the Rfam family "Bacterial small subunit ribosomal RNA", at positions 28 to 507 of the family's 1533-position model. The record is from RNAcentral.